UUAAUUUAUAGUCGGCACUCUGUCGGAUUUUUUUGUAAAAUUUGCGGAAAUCCCGAAUUAAUCAAAAUUUCAAAGAAUGACAUAAAGGUUAGAAAUUUCACUUAAAAGUUUUUUAAUCAAUAAUAUAAGAAUUGGAAAUUGUAAUAAAAUAAGAUAAAAUGCUCUAGCACUUUGUGUGACAUGUCUUGCUCGGCUACACUGUAAACGGGUAAGGGGUGUCACAUGAGCAAACCAGAGACAGAAGGGAGGGGAUAUGGAGUUUUAAAUGGAACAAAUAAGUGACAAAUAUGCUAUUCUUAGAGAUAAUUGACACUGAUUUGGCAAAAGCAGUAAGUGUUCCUGAUUAUCUUUGGUUCUCAUUAAAAGCUAUAUCAAUGGAAUAUGUUCUCUGAUUGUACAAUCAAUGGCCAAAGUUCGUCCUCUGUAUUUUCUUGGUGUGAGACUGCAUCAAAUGUAAAGAAAUCUUAUAUUUCCUCGCCUUUUCAUUGUUCUUCUUCUUCUUCUUCUUUUUUUAAUAAAAGCACAUAAUUCACUUUUUAUGCUUUUGAAUUGUUAUCUUAGGCCGUGUCCUUUUUUUUUUUUUUCCUCUUUUUUCCAUUUGGGUAAAGUUCUUGUUUUAAAAAAGGCAUACCAAAUAAAGCCCUUCAUAGUGAUUUUUGUUUUCAUAUUCAAUCCCAACCCUCACUUCUAAAAAUUGUUGUCUUUACUACCAAAAAAACUCUUCUCUCCAUUUCCUGCAGAUACAAGUGAACAGAAUCAGAAUGAUGACAACAAUGCCUGUGAUCAUGAACUGCGCCCACAAGAAGAUUUCCACUAAUGCUGGAAUGCCCUUGGGUGGGUUAAAGAAGGCACUGAAGUUGAACUUGAUAAUGUUGGAUGCCUUAGCUUGAGAGAGCAAAAAUUUGAAAAGGUUACUGCAUCCCACGGAACAAAUGUUACAAGAUUCACUCUGAGGAACAUUUUGAGGAUGUAUCCUAAAGGUAUUCGAAAUGACUCUUCCAACUACAAGCCAAUGAAUGGUUAGUUGCACCAAGCUCAAAUGGUAGCACUUAACAUGCAGGGAUAUGGAAAAUCACUUUUUUUGAUGGAUGGGAUGUUUAGAUCAAAUUGAGGGUGUGGUUUUGUUAAAAUUCCUGUUUUUUUAAUGUGGGUCCAGAAAAUAAGGUUAAAGUUUAUGUGGGGAAUGGAUGGCAUUUGGAUUUAAAGCGAGCACAAUUUGCUUUAUUCUGCUCACCAGAUUUCUAUAUCAGGAGAACAUUGGCAUAGCAGGGGCGUCAACUGAUAGGGCAAUGAAGAAAACAAAGAAAAAGAGAACAAUUGGACUCCCAUUUGGGAUGAAGAGUUCACCUUUCCAGGAAUUGGCUUUGCUUCGUGUUGAAGUUCAUGACCGUUUCAUGCCUGAGAAGGAUGAUUUAGCAGGUCAAGCCUGUUUGCCCCUCUCUCAAUAAGGCUAGGCAUCCGUGCAGUUCCCCUCUUUGAUGAGAAGGGAAAAUAAGUUCAGCUCAAUGAGACUUCUUAUGCAGUUUGAGUUUCUUUAGAAAGUUCCAAGUUCAGUUUGAUAUAUACGUGAUGAUUAAUUUGUUUCAGGUGAAGUAUGUAUACAUGGCGAUUCAUAUCCAUGUACAUGCUUUUACAUGCUUAAUUGGGUUGAACUGCUGUAAACACUUGUUAAAUUGAUGAUCAAAUGGAACAAAUGUUUCAAGUU
Molecule: long non-coding RNA, 1705 nt
Organism: Hevea brasiliensis (rubber tree)
Lineage: Eukaryota; Viridiplantae; Streptophyta; Magnoliopsida; Malpighiales; Euphorbiaceae
Exons: 5
Source: RefSeq, a predicted model, not a curated record